CAACACACAAAACAAGCGGUGAAUGCUUUGGGGUGGGGUGACUGCGUACCUUUUGUAUAAUGGGUCAGCGACUUAUAUUCUGUAGCAAGGUUAACCGAAUAGGGGAGCCGGAGGGAAACCGAGUCUUAAUUGGGCGUUAAGUUGCAGGGUAUAGACCCGAAACCCGGUGAUCUAGCCAUGGGCAGGUUGAAGGUUGGGUAACACUAACUGGAGGACCGAACCGACUAAUGUUGAAAAAUUAGCGGAUGACCUGUGGCUGGGGGUGAAAGGCCAAUCAAACCGGGAGAUAGCUGGUUCUCCCCGAAAGCUAUUUAGGUAGCGCCUCGUGAAUUCAUCUCCGGGGGUAGAGCACUGUUUCGGCUAGGGGGCCAUCCCGGCUUACCAACCCGAUGCAAACUGCGAAUACCGGAGAAUGUUAUCACGGGAGACACACGGCGGGUGCUAACGUCCGUCGUGAAGAGGGAAACAACCCAGACCGCCAGCUAAGGUCCCAAAGUCAUGGUUAAGUGGGAAACGAUGUGGGAAGGCCCAGACAGCCAGGAUGUUGGCUUAGAAGCAGCCAUCAUUUAAAGAAAGCGUAAUAGCUCACUGGUCGAGUCGGCCUGCGCGGAAGAUGUAACGGGGCUAAACCAUGCACCGAAGCUGCGGCAGCGAACGUAUCACCCAAGACAACUUUACGGAGUUGACGAUUGACGGAGCGAAGCGACGUCAAAGCGUUCAUUAAAGUCGAGUUGGCUUAGGGAUACGUUCGUUGGGUAGGGGAGCGUUCUGUAAGCCUGUGAAGGUGUGUCGUGAGGCAUGCUGGAGGUAUCAGAAGUGCGAAUGCUGACAUAAGUAACGAUAAAGCGGGUGAAAAGCCCGCUCGCCGGAAGACCAAGGGUUCCUGUCCAACGUUAAUCGGGGCAGGGUGAGUCGACCCCUAAGGCGAGGCCGAAAGGCGUAGUCGAUGGGAAACGGGUUAAUAUUCCCGUACUUGGUGUUACUGCGAAGGGGGGACGGAGAAGGCUAUGUUGGCCGGGCGACGGUUGUCCCGGUUUAAGCGUGUAGGUGUGUGUUCCAGGUAAAUCCGGUUCACUUUAACACUGAGGCGUGACGACGAGGCACUACGGUGCUGAAGCAACAAAUGCCCUGCUUCCAGGAAAAGCCUCUAAGCAUCAGGUAACACGAAAUCGUACCCCAAACCGACACAGGUGGUCAGGUAGAGAAUACCAAGGCGCUUGAGAGAACUCGGGUGAAGGAACUAGGCAAAAUGGUGCCGUAACUUCGGGAGAAGGCACGCUGACACGUAGGUGAAGUGAUUUACUCAUGGAGCUGAAGUCAGUCGAAGAUACCAGCUGGCUGCAACUGUUUAUUAAAAACACAGCACUGUGCAAACACGAAAGUGGACGUAUACGGUGUGACGCCUGCCCGGUGCCGGAAGGUUAAUUGAUGGGGUCAGCG
RNAcentral lists this ribosomal RNA (1440 nucleotides) under Salmonella enterica. RNAcentral's name for it is "partial 23S ribosomal RNA". It matches the Rfam family "Bacterial large subunit ribosomal RNA", at positions 566 to 1895 of the family's 2925-position model. Lineage: Bacteria; Pseudomonadati; Pseudomonadota; Gammaproteobacteria; Enterobacterales; Enterobacteriaceae. The record is from RNAcentral.